CCUAACACAUGCAAGUCGAACGGUAACAGGAAGAAGCUCGCUUCUUUGCUGACGAGUGGCGGACGGGUGAGUAAUGUCUGGGAAACUGCCUGAUGGAGGGGGAUAACUACUGGAAACGGUGGCUAAUACCGCAUAACGUCGCAAGACCAAAGAGGGGGACCUUCGGGCCUCUUGCCAUCAGAUGUGCCCAGAUGGGAUUAGCUAGUAGGUGGGGUAACGGCUCACCUAGGCGACGAUCCCUAGCUGGUCUGAGAGGAUGACCAGCCACACUGGAACUGAGACACGGUCCAGACUCCUACGGGAGGCAGCAGUGGGGAAUAUUGCACAAUGGGCGCAAGCCUGAUGCAGCCAUGCCGCGUGUAUGAAGAAGGCCUUCGGGUUGUAAAGACUUUCAGCGGGGAGGAAGGGAGUAAAGUUAAUACCUUUGCUCAUUGACGUUACCCGCAGAAGAAGCACCGGCUAACUCCGUGCCAGCAGCCGCGGUAAUACGGAGGGUGCAAGCGUUAAUCGGAAUUACUGGGCGUAAAG
Molecule: ribosomal RNA, 528 nt
Filed under: uncultured bacterium
Lineage: Bacteria
Description: bacterial SSU rRNA
Rfam family: Bacterial small subunit ribosomal RNA
Source: RNAcentral